CGAUCCGCCGGUUUUCCCCGUCUGGUCUUCCGCAUCCGGUCCGGUGCUUCGCUCUCCCCCCGGCCCACCACCUCCCCACCUCCACCGUCACCGAACCCGAGCCCAGACCCCGACGCCGCACCCCCAAAACCGCCCAGCUCGGAUCCUUGCCGUCGUCGUUCCUUCUUCCCCAGACUCGCCCCCAAUCCCGGCGUCCAGCUCCGAUUCGCGCCCCCAAUCCUAGCACCAAUUCGCCGCUCCCACCUUCAGACGCGACCCCAAUACCGGCGCCCAGCUCGGAUCCUGGCGGCGCCGCAUCAACCUGCCGUCGGCGCUCAUUCACCCACGAGACGCGUCCCCAACUCCGGCGCCGUACCACCCCCAUCUCGGCGCGUCUCGGCCUCCCGUCGGUUUGUCUUCUGGUUCUCUCCACUUUUCUGGAUCGGCGGUGACGGCCCCCAAGAUCCGAUAAAGCCGUCCACCUCAGGGUCGCCCGAUCGCCGGAGAACAAGGCGGCUGCGUCCACCUCGCCCUCGGUGCCGCCCGAUCGCCGGAGAACAAGGCGGCUGCCGCGGCACCGGCGCCGCUCGCUGCGCCUGCUCCAUCUCCCUCGCCAGCAGGGCAGAGGAUCUCCGGCUGGCAGUCCACGGGGUCAGUGCGCGCGCCCAUGCGGGUCGGCAAACUGACCUCCGCCAUGCCUUCCUCGAGCAGAUCGACCUCCUAGCGCGGGGCCUCGGGCGCCAAGCAGCUCACGCAGCGACUGCGCCUGCAAGAAGACGCAGGCGGAAGUGGCAGCAGGGAGGAGGACGAGCGCCUGCCGCUUCUGCUUAUUAUGCAAAUCGAUGAGUGUAUCAUCAGCGUCAAUCCAUCGCUCCCACCGGCACCGGCGACGGCCCACUCAGCCAGGUUCAGCGUCGAGUGUCUCAAACGGCAAGGUCAACUUGCGGGGUUGCGGCGCCUGGCUCCAUCAUCAUCACCUGAAGCUGUCGAUUUCUUCUAAGGUUUCCUCCCUGCUGCUCGAAGCCCUUCCAUCCCCUCCUCUAUCCUAUUCUAUGUUGCUCGAUUUCUCAUGGCUACUUGACUACUAGUGUAGUGUUAGGGAUUUGCUCUUUUGGAAUAGGUCCAGCUGCCGGCGCACGUCCCUAACCUAGGAGCUAGACGCAACUAGCACCCCCAACCUCUGCAGGCUCUGAUCUGAAUACAGUUGUAGAACAUCCUCUUUUGAGCUGCUGAGUGCCAGGACCAUCCAUUCAACCCAAGAUAAUAUUGACAGUGUUUUGAAUUUUGAAUUAGCUAAAUACAUCGACUAUGCUAUCCAAUAAUAGUUUUUGCAAUUGGAUUUAGGCUUUUUGUUUCUAAUGGAUUACCUUUGAAACUAAACUUUUUUACUUACUGAUUUUCUAGCUGUUCAUUUCGAUCAUUCAUCGAUGAAGAGGUGAUUCUGCCGAUGUUGUGUUUUUGAGCUCCCCAUUUAAAAGAUUGUGUGUUUAAUCUUGCAUGCACUGGAUUUUAUCCUCUUAUAAGCAGAUCUGUUGGGCCCUCCUAGUUUAAUCUGGAUCUCCUGUUUUAGCUAUGCUUUUUCCCCAACAGUACCGUUGAUGCAAAAAGAAUCUUUAUUUUUGUCAGGUUAAGAUUCAUUAUGCCAUCUACUAUGCUUCCAUCCUAUCAUCCCUGUAAUUAACUAGCACAUAAAUAAGGAAAAUUUUAGCAGUUCAAUGCCUCUAUCAUUGAUGUAUCUCUGGUUUACUACCCAAUACCCAAUAAUGUUCCAAAUUAAUCUACUUAUACAAUCAAUGUUCUUAAGGCGCUGUCGCGGCGACCUACCCCCCUCACAACGCCUAGGCGUAUAAGGCGCGCGGCGAGGCGACGCCAUAGACAUAUCCUAAAUAUACCAUGAUAGUAAAAUUUAGUAGCAUAUACAUACCUUUGUUGAGCUGUUGCACCGUACAUUCUUCCUUCCCAAUUACUCCACUCAAGCAAGCAAUAGACUAAUAGAGGCAUCGAGCAGAGCAAGCACAGACAGCAGAGGGAACUAGGGAGCAGGGAAGAUAAACACGAGCACAAAGCAGAGGAAAGGGAAGGGAAGACCGGAGAUUGGAGAUGAAUUACCUAGGCAUUGCAGUCUAGCAAGGAGGCCGAAGAUAGCAGAGGAGGCGCACGGAGGCAGGGGCCCACGCGGAGAGGCGGGAGCGCGUGAAGGCGCAGAGGAGGCGGGGCUGCGCCGCCGCGCUGGGCCGCACGGGUCUCGCGGAUGAGCAGAGAUACACGGGACCGCGAGGCUGCAAGCAUCGCCGUGGUGAUGCGCAGAGCCGCGAGGGUCGCAGUCGCCGCCUCGGCGAGGAUCCAUGCCACCACCGUGAGUUCCCUUUGUUACCUCUCUCUUCUCUGUUUCCCUCUCCUAAUUAAGCCACGACUAGGCUUUUGCCGCUCGAUUUCGCGUCCAAUUCUCGCCCGCCCUCAAUUUCUCGUCCGAUUCCCGCCUGCCCCUCAAGUUCCCGCCUGCCCUGCUCCAAUUCCCGCCUGCCCUCAAUUUUCCGUGCGAUUCCCGCCCGCCCCUCGAGUUCCCGCCUGCCCUGCUCGAGUUCCCGUGCGGCACCCAUCUAUGGCGACCGCCUCGUCCCCCAGGACGCCCAGCGACCGCCUCGUCCCCCAGGCGGACGCCUUGCGCCUGAGGCGGACGCCAUAGGCGUUCUGGCAAGGCGAGGGGGACGCCUACCACCCCGAGCACGCCUCGAUGCCUAGUCGUCGCCUAGGCGAUGCCUUAAGAACAUUGUAUACAGUGCCACGAAUGCUUCGUUAUAGAAAAUGUGAUUUCUCAAACUGAUUAAAUGCCAAUUCUUUUAGUCGGCUUCUUUUAUAGAUCAAUUAUUCUUUGCUGAUCAAUUUCUGUGAGCUGACGAUUCCGUGGAAGUGAAUGCUGGCUGAAAAACUAGGCAUGUACAUGCAUCUGAUUUUUUUUUUGAAAAUUUGAUCAAUUUGCAAUAUACUAAGCACAAUUACAUUUGCAUCUACCCAUGUCUAUUUAUUUUAGGCAGAAUAGAUUAUGAGCCUGUUGUGCUUUUGUUUGUUUUAAUGCUAUGUAUAUGUAUUAUGCUAGUACAUUCCACAGUUUUUUUAGAACAGUAUAUUCCACAGUUAAGAAACUAUCAGAUGACUAUGAGAACUCACAACAGCAAUUUAAUCAUGUUGAGCUAGAUUGGGUAUUCAAGUUGGCAUAUUUGCCAACCAUUUUACUUUCACCAUUAAAUUAAGCAAUCUCUGGUGCGUGGAAGUACAUUUGGAUUUGUGUAGUUUGACUUAAACAAUUUACAUCUUCAGUUCAGCUGGUGAACACUAUUGUUCAUGGAUCUUAUUCACGGUAUUGUUACAGAUUUAAGGUUCCUGACUUUUACUUUGCUUAGGACACAUUGCAGGUGUGAGAGCAUCGAGUAAUCUCUGCACCAGUAUCACAUUAGAGCAGAUUGGUCAUAACAAGCAAGCUUGACAUUUGUUUGCAUUAUGGAAGACAUCCAAACUCGCUGUUAUGUCAGAUGCUGUUGAAAGCUGAAAUAUCUCUGAGGGAAAUGUAGAAAAAUCUUACUAGCGUCAUCAUUUAUAUCUUUCCGAGACAUACAUUUGUGUGCCUGUAAUAUGAUUUCCAAGGCAUCCCGGUGCAUAUGAUAUAUAAAUUCUUUCAUGUAUACUUUGUUCAAAA
This is a long non-coding RNA of Panicum virgatum (switchgrass), 3673 nucleotides long. RefSeq lists it as uncharacterized. The transcript has 3 exons. The record is from RefSeq and is a predicted model, not a curated record. Lineage: Eukaryota; Viridiplantae; Streptophyta; Magnoliopsida; Poales; Poaceae.